AUGACUAAUGUUAAAUAGCCGCAGUAUUUUGACUGUGCAAAGGUAGCAUAAUCAUUAGUUUUUUAAUUGAAAGCUAGAAUGAAUGGUCGGAUGAGAAAGAAUCUGUCUCAUUUUAAUUUGUUUGAAUUUUAUUUUUAAGUUAAAAAGCUUAAAUUUUAUAAUAAGACGAGAAGACCCUAUAGAGUUUAAUAAGCUAAUAUAUAAUUAUUUGAAGGUUUUAAUUUAAUUAUUUUUUAGCUUGUUUUGUUGGGGUGACAUUAGAAUUUAAUAAACUUCUUAAUAUUUAUACAUUGAUUUAUGAAUAAAUGAUCCUAAUUUUUGGAUUAAAAGAACAAAUUACCUUAGGGAUAACAGCGUAAUUUUUUUGGAGAGUUCUAAUCGAUAAAAGGGAUUGCGACCUCGAUGUUGGAUUAAAGUUAAGUUUCGGUGC
RNAcentral lists this ribosomal RNA (430 nucleotides) under Meloe franciscanus. Its description in RNAcentral is "partial large subunit ribosomal RNA". The record is from RNAcentral. Lineage: Eukaryota; Metazoa; Arthropoda; Insecta; Coleoptera; Meloidae.